This 273-nucleotide ribosomal RNA is filed under the name uncultured bacterium. RNAcentral's name for it is "partial 16S ribosomal RNA". It matches the Rfam family "Bacterial small subunit ribosomal RNA", at positions 82 to 354 of the family's 1533-position model. The record is from RNAcentral.
CUUCCGCCGGCGACCGGCGCACGGGUGAGUAACACGUAUGCAACCUGCCCCUGUCAGGAGGACAACCCGCCGAAAGGCGGGCUAAACCCGCGUACAUGCCACCGGGGCAUCCCGGAGGCAGGAAAGGCUUCGGCCGGACAGGGAUGGGCAUGCGGCGCAUUAGGCAGUAGGCGGGGUAACGGCCCACCUAACCGACGAUGCGUAGGGGUUCUGAGAGGAAGGUCCCCCACACUGGUACUGAGACACGGACCAGACUCCUACGGAAGGCAGCAG